CUGCUGGAGAGUCGCUACCGAAGCGCCACUAUCAGACCACCUCACACUAUCGCAAAAGCAUCACAGAAUGAGCACACACCCAAACUCAGCAUAGAUUUGAUGAAAUCAUACCGAGGAUGCAUCAUAAAUCAUAAAAUCGUGCCUAGUCGCCACUAUCGCAAAAUCAUCAUAAAAUGAGUGCACACCCAAACCCAGCAUAGAUUUGAUGAAAUCGUGCCUAGUCGCCAUCGCCGCAAGUUCUACUUCUUUGAGAAAAUAAGCUACAGAUCCCCAUCUUUUACGGUUACGCGCCUCAACUCUUCAUUCUUUGGAUUCACAUGAUUGUCUCACACUCAGAUCUGAUUGCUACAUGUCACCUGUCACAUACAUCAGAUCCACCACGUCCUCUUCUCUCUUUGCUACUCUCUCGUCUUUCUCUCCCUCAAUUUCUCUUGCUUUCAUUUUUUUUCCUUCCCUUUUGUAAGCAGGAAUAAGAAAACUCCUCCAUGCCUUACAUCCUUCAUCUACAGUGAGUUUCAGAGGCAUUGUUCCUAAUCCAUACAAGAUUAAGUUUAACAAGAU
Molecule: long non-coding RNA, 561 nt
Filed under: Carica papaya (papaya)
Lineage: Eukaryota; Viridiplantae; Streptophyta; Magnoliopsida; Brassicales; Caricaceae
Description: long non-coding RNA (CPAP_LNC000559)
Source: RNAcentral